AGUGAACGCUGGCGGUAGGCCUAACACAUGCAAGUCGAACGGCAGCACAGUAAGAGCUUGCUCUUACGGGUGGCGAGUGGCGGACGGGUGAGGAAUACAUCGGAAUCUACUUUUUCGUGGGGGAUAACGUAGGGAAACUUACGCUAAUACCGCAUACGACCUACGGGUGAAAGCAGGGGAUCUUCGGACCUUGCGCGAUUGAAUGAGCCGAUGUCGGAUUAGCUAGUUGGCGGGGUAAAGGCCCACCAAGGCGACGAUCCGUAGCUGGUCUGAGAGGAUGAUCAGCCACACUGGAACUGCGACACGGUCCAGACUCCUACGGGAGGCAGCAGUGGGGAAUAUUGGACAAUGGGCGCAUGCCUGAUCCAGCCAUACCGCGUGGGUGAAGAAGGCCUUCGGGUUGUAAAGCCCUUUUGUUGGGAAAGAAAAGCAGCAGGUUAAUACCCCGCUGUUCUGACGGUACCCAAAGAAUAAGCACCGGCUAACUUCGUG
RNAcentral lists this ribosomal RNA (492 nucleotides) under uncultured bacterium. RNAcentral describes it as "partial 16S ribosomal RNA". It matches the Rfam family "Bacterial small subunit ribosomal RNA", at positions 29 to 507 of the family's 1533-position model. The record is from RNAcentral.